CACGGGGGUGAGAACUAUAUAAAUAUAGUUCCCAGUGGGUACGGCCACCCAAGGGAAGAGCUCGACCCACCAGGUCCAAAGGAGGCAACUGCAGGUUAGUAAACUGAACAGAUAGAUAGAUAUUCGAUGAUACAAUUAAUAAAACCAUACCUUGCCUCGCGAUAUGCAAUAUGUAAAUCAUGCAACUACGUAACAAGUAAAUCUAUUGAUCCUAUUUUAUAUCUUUAACCAUUCUUUACUUGUAGCCGUUCUUUAUUAGCUAUUUACGUUCAUUAGUUAUUCUUUAUUCUUAUUCUUUAUUCUUUAUCAUAUUGUGCUCACUAGCGAUUCUUUCCUAAGGUUACUUUACCUUAGUAAUCUAGCCACCCGACUCGGUCUUGAGUCAAUCAAUCGCGGAUAGUCCGCGCACUAUCUAGCUCGAGGUGAAGGAACUCUCACAUGCACCUCAGCUGGCAACAGCUCACCGUACUCCUGUCCUAGCCGUCUGGUGGCAAACAAUCGCACCUCACCCAACAACGGCCUAGGUAAAUGACUUAGCCACCCGGCGGCGAAAUCGUCGCACAACGCCACGACAGUGGUUCAGUCAACAGGCGGUAGGAUCCACAAACUGGCUAACCAUCCGGCGGCAAAAUCAUCGCACACGCCACAACAAUGGUUCUUUAGCCCUUGGGCGGCGAAAUCGUCGCACACACCCGACACCCCUUUGGGUGUAUCAACAAGCUUUGAGAUUCCGGAAUCUAUUUCACAUUACUCGAGGGUUAGUCUUAACCCUAUGGAAUCGACCUAUCUAGGUCCAAGUCUUUACUCGACCUAAUUUAACACUUUAGGUUCGAUUCUUUUAUAUUCUUAGCCUAGGUUUAUUAUCCCUAGGACCAUCAUUCUUUCCAACCUAGGUUCACUUGACUCUAGGUUAAACACUUUUCAUUUCACUACCUAUAUUCUUUACAUUAGGUUUAACAUCAUUCUUAUUUAACCUAUGUUUAAUAACACUAGGUUCAUUUCAUAUUCAACCUAUGUUUAAUAACAUUAGGUUCAUUUCAUAUUCAACCUAUGUUUAAUAACAUUAGGUUCAUGCCACUCGAUCUAUACAAUGUCCAACCUAGGUUCAAUAACUUAGGUUCAUGCCACUCGAUAUAUAUAUGUCUUCCUAGAUAUUCUUUUCUAGGUUCACAGUUUACAUAUUCAUAUAUUCUCAUUUAUCUUGUUACCAUCGAGGUUUCUAAUCAACUAGAAGUGUCGAUAUUCAUACAACCUGAACUAUAGUACAUUCAUUUUCAUAUAUGUUUAGACGUAGGCAUCAAACAUUCACUUUCAUAAGCAUUUAACACUAACUUUCUUUAACACUAACUUUCACGUAUCAACAAUUAUAUAUGCUUUAGCAUUUAUGUUCGCAUUUCGACAAUUAUAUUCAUAUGCAUCUAGCAUUCAUGUUCAUAUAAUAAUCAUUAUAAAUCAUCUAGCAUCAACCAUCUUAUGUCAACAAUCAUAUAUGCCUACUCAUAUGCGUCUAGCAUUUAUGUUCGCAUUUCGACAAUCAUAUUCAUAUAUGCGUCAAUGAAACCAUAUUUUUCUUUGGCAUGGAAGUGACCUAAUCACUUCGGUAAACACAACCCACC
RNAcentral lists this long non-coding RNA (1616 nucleotides) under Ananas comosus (pineapple). Its description in RNAcentral is "long non-coding RNA (ACOM_LNC005567)". Lineage: Eukaryota; Viridiplantae; Streptophyta; Magnoliopsida; Poales; Bromeliaceae. The record is from RNAcentral.